This is a long non-coding RNA of Mauremys mutica (yellowpond turtle), 839 nucleotides long. RefSeq lists it as uncharacterized. The transcript is spliced from 5 exons. The record is from RefSeq and is a predicted model, not a curated record. Lineage: Eukaryota; Metazoa; Chordata; Testudines; Geoemydidae.
CCAAGUGACCAUCGCAGUUGCUACUUGUCUUUAGGCCACACAAAUCUUGUUUUCUGUGGCAUUAACCACAUUGUCUACCAUUGGAGUUACAUUUCUGGAAGCCAGGAAAAACCCCUUACCUGUCUGGGAGAAAUGUUUUACAGGACUCCUCAGCAAAACAAUUUCCCCUUAAUUAAGCAAUAUGAUGUAAAUUACAUGGUGAAUGAUUUAAUAAGGGAGGAGACGUGCCAACCAACAGCAACAAAAAUCUUUUAAGAAUAGUGGCAUGAUUCUCCGGGAAAGAACAGAAAAUAUGAAGUCACGAGCACAAGCUGCAAUUCACAAAAACCCCAAACCCAUUCAUUCUAUUCAUUAUUUUGGAAAUGGAAAGGUCCAAAAUCUCUUUUCCUGGACAGAAGGAUGUGCUCUCCUUUUCACCCAUCAGUAUGCUGACGACAGUGGGAGUUACAUCCUCAAAUGGAAGACUACAACACAUUGAAUUUGAUUGCUUUGGCCACUCUCACUCUUUGUUGCUGGCUCCUUGCCUAGCUUCUGGAAUACACAGCCCUUGCUUGUAUAAGUGCCAAGUUCACGGUCACAGACCAGUGGAACUCACCAGUAUCAUCCACACGAUGUGAAAAUCUGUAUCCUCUGCUAGGUGAAAGAUCACUUGGGGUUCUUUGCCCCCCUCCCUCAUAGUCCAGUGAAUCUUUGAAAUGGAUUCUUCUGAAUGCUCAAAGUAAAGCGCAUUCAAGCUGUGAGAAAGGAGACAUGGAAUCUGGUGGUGAAGGAAGUUCCAUGCUAGUUUCUUCCCCCGCUGGUGUUUGCAAAAAUAAAAACUGAUCUGUUUCCUGCAAUCU